RNAcentral lists this ribosomal RNA (66 nucleotides) under Amauroderma partitum. RNAcentral describes it as "partial 28S ribosomal RNA". It matches the Rfam family "Eukaryotic large subunit ribosomal RNA", at positions 1 to 59 of the family's 3401-position model. Lineage: Eukaryota; Fungi; Basidiomycota; Agaricomycetes; Polyporales; Polyporaceae. The record is from RNAcentral.
GACAUCUGACCUCAAAUCAGGUAGGACUACCCGCUGAACUUAAGCAUAUCAAUAAGCGGGAGGAAA